This 471-nucleotide ribosomal RNA is filed under the name uncultured bacterium. RNAcentral describes it as "bacterial SSU rRNA". It matches the Rfam family "Bacterial small subunit ribosomal RNA", at positions 28 to 507 of the family's 1533-position model. The record is from RNAcentral.
GAUGAACGCUGGCGGUGCGCCUAAUGCAUGCAAGUCGAGCGACGCACUCCGAGGGGUAACCCACUGGAAUGACGGAGCGGCGAACGGGUGAGUAACACGUGAGCAACCUGCCCCACAGACCGGGAUAGCCCAGGGAAACCUGGAUUAAUACCGGAUAUCCUCGUAGGACCGCAUGGUCCAUCGAGGAAAUGCCUUUGUGCUGUGGGAUGGGCUCGCGACUUAUCAGCUAGUUGGUGGGGUAACGGCCCACCAAGGCAUUGACGAGUAGCUGGUCUGAGAGGACGAUCAGCCACACUGGAACUGAGACACGGUCCAGACUCCUACGGGAGGCAGCAGCAGGGAAUCUUGCGCGAUGGGCGAAAGCCUGACGCAGCGACACCGCGUGGGGGAUGAAGGCCUUCGGGUUGUAAACCCCUUUCAGGAGGGAAGAAAUUGACGGUACCUCCACAAGAAGGACCGGCCAACUACGUG